AGGGUUUGAUCAUGGCUCAGGAUGAACGCUGGCGGCACGCUUAACACAUGCAAGUCGAACGAGGUCCAUGGAGCUUGCUCCGGAAGAUCUAGUGGCGAACGGGUGCGUAACACGUGAGAAAUCUGCCCCGGACUCUGGGAUAACAGUUGGAAACGACUGCUAAUACCGGAUGCCUUCGCAUGACCGCAUGGUCGAGUGAAGAAAGAUUUAUCGGUUUGGGAGGAUCUCGCGGCCUAUCAGCUUGUUGGAGAGGUAACGGCUCACCAAGGCAUCGACGGGUAGCUGGUCUGAGAGGAUGAUCAGCCACACUGGAACUGAGACACGGUCCAGACUCCUACGGGAGGCAGCAGUGGGGAAUCUUGCACAAUGGGCGAAAGCCUGAUGCAGCGAUGCCGCGUGCGGGAAGAAGGCCUUAGGGUUGUAAACCGCUUUCAGGAGGGAAGAAAAUGACGGUACCUCCAGAAGAAGGUGCGGCCAACUACGUGCCAGCAGCCGCGGUGACACGUAGGCACCAAGCGUUAUCCGGAUUUAUUGGGCGUAAAGAGCUCGUAGGCGGUUUGGUAAGUCGGGUGUGAAAACUCUGGGCUCAACCCAGAGAGGCCACUCGAUACUGCUAUGACUAAAGUACGGUAGGGGAGCGGGGAAUUCCUGGUGUAGCGGUGAAAUGCG
RNAcentral lists this ribosomal RNA (669 nucleotides) under uncultured bacterium. RNAcentral describes it as "bacterial SSU rRNA". It matches the Rfam family "Bacterial small subunit ribosomal RNA", at positions 8 to 690 of the family's 1533-position model. The record is from RNAcentral.